RNAcentral lists this non-coding RNA (18 nucleotides) under Arabidopsis thaliana (thale cress). The record is from RNAcentral. Lineage: Eukaryota; Viridiplantae; Streptophyta; Magnoliopsida; Brassicales; Brassicaceae.
GCGACGGACCGGGCCUAA